UGAGGAAUAUUGGGCAAUGGGCGCAAGCCUGACCCAGCAACGCCGCGUGAAGGAAGAAGGCUUUCGGGUUGUAAACUUCUUUUAUUCGGGACGAUAAUGACGGUACCGAAUGAAUAAGCCACGGCUAACUACGUGCCAGCAGCCGCGGUAAUACGUAGGUGGCAAGCGUUAUCCGGAUUUACUGGGUGUAAAGGGCGUGUAGGCGGGACUGCAAGUCAGAUGUGAAAACUAUGGGCUCAACCCAUAGCCUGCAUUUGAAACUGUAGUUCUUGAGUACUGGAGAGGCAGGCGGAAUUCCGUGUGUAGCGGUGAAAUGCGUAGAUAUACGGAGGAACACCAGUGGCGAAGGCGGCCUGCUGGACAGCAACUGACGCUGAGGCGCGAAAGCGUGGGGAGCAAACAGGAUUAGAUACC
Molecule: ribosomal RNA, 414 nt
Filed under: uncultured bacterium
Lineage: Bacteria
Description: bacterial SSU rRNA
Rfam family: Bacterial small subunit ribosomal RNA
Source: RNAcentral